AUUGAACGCUGGCGGCAGGCCUAACACAUGCAAGUCGAACGCGUGGCGCACGGGUGCGUUAUGUCUGGGACACUGCCUUAUGGAGGGGGAUAACUACUGGACACGAUCUCUAAUCCCGCAUACCCUGAGAUGUGCCCAGAGGGGAUUAGCUUGUUGGUGGGGUAACGGCUCCCAAAGGCGACGCUCCCUCGCUGGUCUGAGAGGAUGACCAGCCAGACGGGAACUGAGACACGGGCCAGACUCCUACGGGAGGCAGCAGUGGGGAAUAUUGCACAAUGGGCGCAAGCCUGAUGCAGCCAUGCCGCGUGUAUGAAGAAGGCCUUCGGGUUGUAAAGUACUUUCAGCGGGGAGGCGUUACCCGCAGAAGAAGCACCGGCUAACUCCGUGCCAGCAGCCGCGGUAAUAC
This 406-nucleotide ribosomal RNA is filed under the name uncultured bacterium. RNAcentral's name for it is "partial 16S ribosomal RNA". It matches the Rfam family "Bacterial small subunit ribosomal RNA", at positions 30 to 526 of the family's 1533-position model. The record is from RNAcentral.